Molecule: RNA transcript, 2728 nt
Organism: Patella vulgata (common limpet)
Lineage: Eukaryota; Metazoa; Mollusca; Gastropoda; Patellidae
Gene name: zinc finger protein 28
Exons: 2
Source: RefSeq, a predicted model, not a curated record
ACCAGACCGGAAGCGAACGAUUCUACGUUAAUGAGAUUUGCUGUCAUUUAAAUUGUUGAUGAAAUAUCAACUGUGUUGUGCUAGACGUUUUUCCAGCUGAUAACAAAUCUCAUCUCCCAACCCUGACAUCAGUAUCUCAUCGGUUUAGCUACGAUCUCGUAGCUAACGUACAUGGAACAAAAUGGCAAGUUUUUUGUUGUUUUUUUUGGUAUACAGACAACUCAUCCCAAAGACAACUCAUCUCAAGACAACUCGUCCCAAUAAAAGACAACUCAUCCCAAUAUAAAAGACUACUCAUCCCAACUUUAAAACAUGGGUAGAGUUAUAAGACAAGUUAUAAGACAACUCAUCCCAACAAAUUUAAGUGCCUGUUUUAAUAUAAUUGCUUUCUUUGAAGACCACUCAGACCAAAACCAAUCUGAUUUUGUUAUCUUAAAGGGACAAUAACACUCUUGCUGGCUUGACAGCUCCAGAAAAUAAAAAAGAGCCUUAUUCUAAGUACUAGAUGUUUAAGUGUCCUACCGGUCGUGUAAAUUAUUCAUUACAUCCUAUUUUACUUGUCCAGAGGGUUCGAAAAUAUUUUUAAAUCCAAGUCACAUUUGAAAAGCUUUACAUUAGGCUUUUCAAAUCAUUUAGUUGAAUUUUUCCAAUUUUUUAAAUUAGGUGUGUUAAGAUGAAAUUUGUAUCACCAAUUAAUUGGAAUAUUGUAAAAUAGUACAAUUUGUUGACCAGAAUAAAGAUUGGGACAUAUUAUUCAGUUACAACAAGAGUGGUAUUGAGCCUUUAAUAAAAUUGAUAUUGUUGUUUUAAUCAAAUUGAUAUUGUUGUUGUAAUAAACUGAUGAUUACUGUUUGUAUUACUGUUUUAGUACUUUGUUGUUUUAACAGAUUGGUAGUUGUGUUUUGUUUUAUUUUUUCAUCAUGAAGCACUUCAAAGAAAAUUAAUUAACAAAACAUCGAUUAACUAAACUGAGUAGUAGUAUUUCAGUAUCAUUUUUCAAAAUGUCUGAUAGCUGUAUAGUUUGUGAGUCAGUUGUUCGCCCAAGACCGGAGGCUGUUCAGUGCGACGGAUGUGAACGAUGGCAGCACAGAACUUGUAAUACUGGAAACUAAUGAUGUUAAAACAUUCCAUCAGUGUGUUGUAUGUGAUGAGAUUUUUCAACAACUUGAUGAUUUAGAACAACACAAUAAAAUACAUGUUAAAGAAGAGAAAAUUGAUGAUGUAGAUGAAUAUUGCCGUGUUAAAGAAGAGAAAAUUGAUGAUGUAGAUGAAUUUUUCCAUGUUAAAGCAGAGAAAACUGAUGAUGUAGAUGAAUAUUGUAAUGUUCAUUUUAAAGAUGAAAAAGCUGAUGGUGAACAUGGAAAUGUUAAAGAAGAGAAAACUGAAGACAUUGAAACAUGCUAUCAAUGUAAUUUAUGUGAUGAGGAAUUCAAAUCUAAUACUGAUUUAGAAAAACACUGUGAAAUACAUGUUGAAGAAUUUAAAUUUUGCAAUGAUGUAGACCAACCAUCAGCUGCCUGUAAGGGUAAUGACGUAGGUCUACAAUCGGCUGACAGUCAGGAGGGUAUUGACAUAGGCCUACAAUCAGCUGACUGUAAAGGUAGUUAUUUAGGCCUACAAUCAGCUGACAACAUUACACAAGAGACAAUAGAUAAACCUUAUAAAUGUGAUGUUUGUAAUAAACCAUUUACUCGACAAAGUAGCGCACACAGACACUUGAAAACUCAUACGGGUGAAAGGGUGUUUAAAUGCGAUAUUUGUAGUAAAUCGUUCACUUGGAAAAGUUGCUUAAAGAAACACACGCGAGUCCAUACAAGAGAUCAACCCUAUAAAUGUGAUGUUUGUAAUAAAUCAUUUACAUGGAGCACUAGCUUUGAGAUUCACAAGAGCUCCCACACUGGAAAAAAACCUUUCAAAUGUGAUGUUUGUGAUAAACCGUUUUCUGAUAGUAGCGGUUUGAAAAUACACAUGAGAAUUCAUACUGGCCAGAAACCAUAUAAAUGUGAUGUUUGUGGUAAAUCGUUUACAUGGAAACCAAGUUUACAGAAACACAUGAAACAUCAUACCGGUAGAGAACCGUAUUAUUGUGAUAUUUGUGGUGUUGGUUUUAGAAAGAAAGGCAAUCUGUUGGUACACAACAGAAUUCAUGAUCCAAUAUCCUUACAGUGAAACAUUUAAUCAUGUGAGAACUUGUUGUUUGUUGUUUAUUACAAAUAUUAUGGACAGGUUGAUUUAAAGGACAAUAUUGGUGUCAGUCAUUACCACAUAUGUGAUAGAACUGGUUAAACACGUUCCAAAUAUAAUUUUGACACAGAGAUCAUUGCUACGAUAGAUGCGUUAUGAAAAUAGAAGUCUGUGCAUUAUAAUAAUUUUAGUAAUUAUAGAAUGAAUUAAAACAAAGGACUGUAUGGACUAUUUCUAUUUUUCUUGUUUUCCCUUAUCUAGUGGCAUUCAAUUACGUUUUUGAAUUAUCAGAUAUCCUCUGAUAUCAGUGAGCAGAAAUUCGCCCGUGAAUCUGUUAUCACUCAUCACUUCAGUCAGUUAUAUAGAAGGAUAACUCGUGUUUUCCUUUUGUGUUCGUCACUUCCCUUUCUUGAAAGCUUCAUAACGUAUCUAUUGUAGCAAUGAUCUCUGUGUUAAAAUUAUAUUUGGAACGUUUUUAACAAGUUCGAUCACUGACUGACACCAAUAUUGUCCUUUAAUUAAGUUAUUUACAUGUGAAGGAGUA